GAUCAAAAGCCAAAGGUCUGAGAUUGGCUGCCGGCCCCCCCUCCCAACCUCCCCCCUCCCCAGUGGAGACUAUCCACCUCUCUCCGUUUCCACUGGUCCUUCCCUUCCCACGUGAAGCUGAGAGAGAGAGAGAGAGAGAGAGAGAGACGCGAGCGGCGGAGGAGAGGGGGGGGCGACGCGCUGGGCAAGGAAAGCCACCCCCACCACCCAAUCCCGCAUCUUCGCUCCCGUCUUAUUUCUCGCCCGCCCCAGCCUGGCCGUGCCGCAGUCGCUCUUUCGCUCCGGAUCAAGUCUCCUCGGGAGUUGCCGCCUCGCCAGCAUCUCCCCCCCACACCAUGAUCACCCCACCGCCGCAUCAGGAGACCAGCGAGCCCGUCGACCCCUUCAGUUAUGAUUAUGAUACAUUGCGCUUGGUGGGGAUGGUCCUGGCCUGCAUCAUGUUUGUGCUGGGAAUCUUGAUAGCACUGAGUAAAAAAUUCAGAUGCAAAAAAUCGGACCCUGGAAUGUCAGAUCCCAGGGCGACAGGGAAG
Ahaetulla prasina is the source of this 530-nucleotide long non-coding RNA. RefSeq lists it as uncharacterized. Lineage: Eukaryota; Metazoa; Chordata; Lepidosauria; Squamata; Colubridae. The transcript has 5 exons. The record is from RefSeq and is a predicted model, not a curated record.